Molecule: ribosomal RNA, 431 nt
Filed under: TM7 phylum sp. oral taxon 350
Lineage: Bacteria; Candidatus Saccharimonadota
Description: bacterial SSU rRNA
Rfam family: Bacterial small subunit ribosomal RNA
Source: RNAcentral
GAUGAACGCUAGCGGCAGGCCUAACACAUGCAAGUCGAACGGCAGCGAGGAGUGCUUGCACUCUGUCGGCGAGUGGCGAACGGCUGAGUAACGCGUAGGAACGUACCCCAAAGUGAGGGAUAAGCCCGAGAAAUCGGGUCUAAUACCGCAUAUGAUCUUCGGAUUAAAGCAUUUAUGCGCUUUGGGAACGGCCUGCGUCGGAUUAGGUUGUUGGUGAGGUAAUGGCUCACCAAGCCGACGAUCCGUAACUGGUCUGAGAGGAUGAUCAGUCAGACUGGAACUGAGACACGGUCCAGACUCCUACGGGAGGCAGCAGUGAGGAAUCUUCCACAAUGGGGGCAACCCUGAUGGAGCAACGCCGCGUGCAGGAUGAAGGCUUCGGGUUGUAAACUGCUUUUAUUUGUGAAGAAUAUGACGGUAACAAAUGAAUA